UACGAAGGGGGCUAGCGUUGUUCGGAAUCACUGGGCGUAAAGGGCGCGUAGGCGGCUUUAUAAGUCGGGGGUGAAAGCCUGUGGCUCAACCACAGAAUUGCCUUCGAUACUGUAGAGCUUGAGACCGGAAGAGGUUAGUGGAACUGCGAGUGUAGAGGUGAAAUUCGUAGAUAUUCGGAAGAACACCAGUGGCGAAGGCGACUCACUGGCCCAUUACUGACGCUGAGGCGCGAAAGCGUGGGGAGCAAACAGG
This 253-nucleotide ribosomal RNA is filed under the name uncultured bacterium. RNAcentral describes it as "partial 16S ribosomal RNA". It matches the Rfam family "Bacterial small subunit ribosomal RNA", at positions 524 to 776 of the family's 1533-position model. The record is from RNAcentral.